Molecule: microRNA precursor, 77 nt
Filed under: Schistosoma mansoni
Lineage: Eukaryota; Metazoa; Platyhelminthes; Trematoda; Strigeidida; Schistosomatidae
Description: mir-3492 microRNA precursor family
Rfam family: mir-3492 microRNA precursor family
Source: Rfam by way of RNAcentral
AACUUUCUGGAUCAUGCCGAGAUUUCGUCAGGCACCAACCCAAUAGAGCUGAUGGGACUCCCGAGUUAAGUGAAGUG